GAAGGUUAGCUAAUCCUGGUCGGACAUCAGGAGGUUAGUGCAAUGGCAUAAGCUAGCUUGACUGCGAGCGUGACGGCGCGAGCAGGUGCGAAAGCAGGUCAUAGUGAUCCGGUGGUUCUGAAUGGAAGGGCCAUCGCUCAACGGAUAAAAGGUACUCCGGGGAUAACAGGCUGAUACCGCCCAAGAGUUCAUAUCGACGGCGGUGUUUGGCACCUCGAUGUCGGCUCAUCACAUCCUGGGGCUGAAGUAGGUCCCAAGGGUAUGGCUGUUCGCCAUUUAAAGUGGUACGCGAGCUGGGUUUAGAACGUCGUGAGACAGUUCGGUCCCUAUCUGCCGUGGGCGCUGGAGAAUUGAGGGGGGCUGCUCCUAGUACGAGAGGACCGGAGUGGACGCAUCACUGGUGUUCGGGUUGUCAUGCCAAUGGCACUGCCCGGUAGCUAAAUGCGGAAGAGAUAAGUGCUGAAAGCAUCUAAGCACGAAACUUGCCCCGAGAUGAGUUCUCCCUGAGACUUUAAGUCUCCUGAAGGAACGUU
Molecule: ribosomal RNA, 533 nt
Filed under: Klebsiella pneumoniae
Lineage: Bacteria; Pseudomonadati; Pseudomonadota; Gammaproteobacteria; Enterobacterales; Enterobacteriaceae
Description: partial 23S ribosomal RNA
Rfam family: Bacterial large subunit ribosomal RNA
Source: RNAcentral